This 199-nucleotide small nucleolar RNA is filed under the name Oryza sativa Indica Group (long-grained rice). RNAcentral describes it as "box C/D snoRNA". The record is from RNAcentral. Lineage: Eukaryota; Viridiplantae; Streptophyta; Magnoliopsida; Poales; Poaceae.
CGCGGUGGUCGCCGCCCCGCGGCCACGCCAGCAGCGGCACGCCGGCCGUCGCCGCCUCGAUCACCGAGUUCCACCCGCUGUGGCUCAGGAACAGGCCCACCGCCGGGUCCCUGAGCACCGCGUCCUGGUCCACCCACGCCUUGGUCACCACGCCGCGCCCCCGCACGCGCUCCAGGAACCCGUCGCCGAGCACGUCGCG